UACAGAGGUCUCAAGCGUUGUUCGGAUUCAUUGGGCGUAAAGGGCGCGUAGGCGGCGCCACAAGUCACUUGUGAAAACUCUGGGCUCAACUCAGAGCCUGCAAGCGAAACUGUGGUGCUGGAGUAUGGGAGAGGUGCGUGGAAUUCCCGGUGUAGCGGUGAAAUGCGUAGAUAUCGGGAAGAACACCCGUGGCGAAGGCGGCUCUCUGGGACGGUACUGACGCUGAGACGCGAAAGCGUGGGGAGCGAACAGG
RNAcentral lists this ribosomal RNA (253 nucleotides) under uncultured bacterium. Its description in RNAcentral is "partial 16S ribosomal RNA". It matches the Rfam family "Bacterial small subunit ribosomal RNA", at positions 524 to 776 of the family's 1533-position model. The record is from RNAcentral.